GGAAAGGAAAAAAAGGGAAACGUUCCUGUUUGCAGUGUUUCUGAUACGAUUUAACCUGGACGCAGAUGUACGGUGGAUGGCAUUCUCACCCAUACCCAUGAGAUCUGGUUCAGGAGGCAUAAAGGAAAAGGCAGGACAAGCAGGUGAAUAUGUACAUCCAGACCUUCUUCCCAAGGCUCAGAGGUCUCAAGUAAAGACAAGGAAGGAGACCAAAGAUGAAUUUCAGUAACAAGAUAAGGAAGGGAAGAAGAGUAAAACACCUUUUGGAGCUCUUUUCAUUACUUGACUGCUAUAAGGAACAGUUCAGAGAGGUUGAGCAGAGGGAGAGGUUGAAAAUGGACAUGAAGGAAAUGACCAAUAGAGCAAAGUCCCAGGGAAGGAGGAAGCUGCCAUCAUCUAAGAGGAGGAAUGCUGUGAAUGGAGCAGACUUUGGGAAGAUGAAGUAUUCAGAUAUGGGUAUGUUUCAUUUGAACGGUCCACCAAGAAUCUAAAUGGAGAUUUCAUAUAGUCAGUUGAUUUCACAAUUCUGGAAUUCAUGUUUUUCAUCCAUU
This is a long non-coding RNA of Choloepus didactylus (southern two-toed sloth), 551 nucleotides long. RefSeq lists it as uncharacterized. The record is from RefSeq and is a predicted model, not a curated record. The transcript has 3 exons. Lineage: Eukaryota; Metazoa; Chordata; Mammalia; Pilosa; Megalonychidae.